RNAcentral lists this ribosomal RNA (255 nucleotides) under uncultured Actinomycetales bacterium. Its description in RNAcentral is "partial 16S ribosomal RNA". It matches the Rfam family "Bacterial small subunit ribosomal RNA", at positions 78 to 334 of the family's 1533-position model. Lineage: Bacteria; Bacillati; Actinomycetota; Actinomycetes; Actinomycetales. The record is from RNAcentral.
UUUUGUGGGGUGCUCGAGUGGCGAACGGGUGAGUAACACGUGAGUAACCUGCCCUUGACUUUGGGAUAACUUCAGGAAACUGGGGCUAAUACCGGAUAGGAGCUCCUGCUGCAUGGUGGGGGUUGGAAAGUUUCGGCGGUUGGGGAUGGACUCGCGGUUUAUCAGCUUGUUGGUGGGGUAGUGGCUUACCAAGGCUUUGACGGGUAGCCGGCCUGAGAGGGUGACCGGCCACAUUGGGACUGAGAUACGGCCCAG